RNAcentral lists this ribosomal RNA (450 nucleotides) under uncultured bacterium. Its description in RNAcentral is "partial 16S ribosomal RNA". It matches the Rfam family "Bacterial small subunit ribosomal RNA", at positions 354 to 796 of the family's 1533-position model. The record is from RNAcentral.
GUGGGGAAUCUUCCGCAAUGGACGAAAGUCUGACGGAGCAACGCCGCGUGAGUGAAGAAGGUUUUCGGAUCGUAAAGCUCUUUCGUUAGGGACGAACGUGCUCUUUGUGAAUAAUGAGGAGUAAUGACGGUACCUAAAUAAGAAGCCACGGCUAACUACGUGCCAGCAGCCGCGGUAAUACGUAGGUGGCAAGCGUUGUCCGGAAUUAUUGGGCGAAAAGCGCGCGCAGGCGGGAUAUCAAGUCUGUCUUAAAAGUGCGAGGCUCAACCUCGUGAGGGGACAGAAACUGGUAUUCUUGGGUGUCGGAGAGGAAAGUGGAAUUCCAAGUGUAGCGGUGAAAUGCGUAGAGAUUUGGAAGAACACCAGUGGCGAAGGCGACUUUCUGGACGAUGUCUGACGCUGAGGCGCGAAAGCUAGGGGAGCGAACGGGAUUAGAUACCCGGGUAGUCC